GAGCACGUAGGUGGGUUUUGUCGCGUCGUCUGUGAAAUUCCGGGGCCUAACUCCGGGCGUGCAGGCGAUACGGGCAUAACUUGAGUACUGUAGGGGUAACUGGAAUUCCUGGUGUAGCGGUGAAAUGCGCAGAUAUCAGGAGGAACACCGAUGGCGAAGGCAGGUUACUGGGCAGUUACUGACGCUGAGGAGCGAAAGCAUGGGUAGCGAACAGGAUUAGAUACCCUGGUAGUCCAUGCCGUAAACGGUGGGCACUAAGUAGAGGGG
This 267-nucleotide ribosomal RNA is filed under the name uncultured bacterium. Its description in RNAcentral is "partial 16S ribosomal RNA". It matches the Rfam family "Bacterial small subunit ribosomal RNA", at positions 565 to 828 of the family's 1533-position model. The record is from RNAcentral.